AAACGUAGGAGACGAGCGUUAUCCGGAUUUACUGGGCGUAAAGCGCGUGUAGGAGGCAUGUCAAGUUGGAUGUAAAAUCUCCCGGCUUAACUGGGAGGCGUCGUUCAAAACUGAUGAGCUAGAGUACUGUAGAGGUAAUCGGAACUCCGGGAGUAGCGGUGAAAUGCGUAGAUAUCCGGAAGAACACCAGAGGCGAAAGCGGAUUACUGGACAGAAACUGACACUGAGACGCGAAAGCCAGGGUAGCAAACGGGAUUAGAGACCCCGGUAGUCCUGGCCGUAAACGAUGUAGACUCGUCGUUUGGGAGGUAAAACUCUUGAGUGACUAAGCAAACGCAAUAAGUCUACCGCCUGGGGAGUACGGUCGCAAGAUUAAAACUCAAAGGAAUUGACGGGG
RNAcentral lists this ribosomal RNA (397 nucleotides) under uncultured bacterium. RNAcentral describes it as "partial 16S ribosomal RNA". It matches the Rfam family "Bacterial small subunit ribosomal RNA", at positions 523 to 918 of the family's 1533-position model. The record is from RNAcentral.